Molecule: long non-coding RNA, 1077 nt
Organism: Xiphias gladius (swordfish)
Lineage: Eukaryota; Metazoa; Chordata; Actinopteri; Istiophoriformes; Xiphiidae
Exons: 3
Source: RefSeq, a predicted model, not a curated record
AUUGUACGGUGGAACGGAGUAUUGCACCCUCGCAGCUGAAGCACUCACGUUAGCCUGUCCUUACCGACAGGGACAGGUGAAGUCAUAGUCUCAGGUGAACGUUAACGUACCAGUCAUUUAUGGUCAAAAUCACGUCAGUAAAAUGAAUAGUCAAAACUCUGUGCAGGAACUCUGACAAUAUGGUGAAGUUAAGUCGGUUGCAGUUUGGCCUUAAAAAAAACUGUAGAAAUGAUCAUCUUGAUUGAAAUGGAGGAGCCAGUUAGCAGUUAGCGGUUAGCAGUGAGCUACUGUUCCAGUAUUGCUAAUGAUAUAGAGCUAAGCUGCCGUUUUGGAAUAUAGAUAUUAACCACUUUACCUCCAUGGAAAAAGAGGAGAAAGACCUUCAUCUUCAAAUAGCGCUGUUCUAAGAAGACAUGCUUAUCGCGAACCCUCAGGGCACCUGUGUUAAUCCUCAGGAAAAGAUGACAUCAAAUGGAAGCAGAGCAAGGGAUUAUGGGGGAUGUUGUGGAGCCUGAUCAACUGCCACUGAGACCUGGAUGGACAGGAAGGAAUCCUCCUUAGACAAGCUGACAGAUGUACAAUCCUCUGUGCGACUUCCGCUGCUCCUCUCCCGUGUUCAGACUCGGUCGGCUCUCAAAGCCCCUCCCCUAUGCUACCACCUUGACAUUCCCAGACAGGUAAAUAUGAACAGUAUCUACCCUGAUUACCCCGAGCAGAAGCGGAAGGCGAGGACAGCAGCACAGUGAAGAAGAUUACGCACAAAGCUUCCCGUGACAAGUUCAAAGCCAUCUGUUGGGGUGAGGAAAACCUUGGUGACAAAACUCAGGAAUUUAAUAAUCACAAACAAAAAAGAGAGUGGCACAGCAAAUUUCCCCACUUUACCCUUUAACACAAAGAGAGAUAUGUGCAGAAUCCUCAGUGAUGAGUUCAAGUGAGGGAGCACGUUUUUAAAAGCCCAAAAUUAAAUUGUUCCUCUGUGACUUUUACUCUUUCAAUACGAGAACUCUUUGAUGUAUCUGCAAAAUGUGCAGAGGAAUACUAGACUAUUCACAUGGCACACUAAAUGUUCCGAGAAAG